Molecule: long non-coding RNA, 1373 nt
Filed under: Heterocephalus glaber (naked mole-rat)
Lineage: Eukaryota; Metazoa; Chordata; Mammalia; Rodentia; Bathyergidae
Description: lncRNA (ENSHGLG00100048431.1)
Source: RNAcentral
AAUAGACUUUGGAAGGACACAAGUGCUGACUACAAAUAUCCACGUAAGCUGUAACCCUACUGCCGAUGCCUGGCGGCUGCAGGCUCAAAGGCCAAUGUGGAACUGAGCAGCCUAGGAAGUAGGAAAAGUAGGAGAUCAGAGACUCAAGAAUUGAAAGGAGCCCCAGAGACGUAAAAUUCAAACUUCUCAUCUCAGAGGAGCCCAGGCUAGCAAGCUUUGCCUGUUCUGGACAUUUCACAUAAACAGAAUCACACAGUGUGGGCUCUUGUGACUGCCUUCUCUCAGGUGACACAGUGCUUUCAGUGUCUCUUCAUGCUCUAACAUGUAUUGGUGCUUCAUUCUUUUUAUUGCUGAAUAAUAUUCCAUUACAUGGAUGGCCACAUUUUGUUUUCCCAUUUGUUAGAUGGGAAGGAACACCUUAGAAAAACAAAGGGAGACAGAUGGGGUGCAGAGAGAAUAUGAAUGGAGGAAAAAGGAAAAGGAAAAAAGAGAAAUAGAGAAAGUAGGAGGGAAAGAGCCACGUUGCUGGACCACCUCAGAAUUGCUUCAAUGGGACUUUGCUUCUGAAAGAUUUGUAUCCUCUGGGGAUGUCUUGGUUUUGCAUUGGUAGAUGCUGAAAUAUGGUUUUAAGUUUGGCUUCACCAGGCUAUGUGUGCUAUGUUUGUGGAAUCCAUGAAGUACUGAAAAGAAGAUUCAAAAUAGCUCUCAGAAAUACUUGUUUUAAACCUCCUCCUUUCUCUUCUUCCCCUCCCAAUCUCACAAGUCCAGUCCAAACAGGUUGAUAAGACUCAUCUUGUGACACUGACCAGACUGUUCUUUGUCUUCAACAGUGUUGAGGCUGAAAAGUGUGUGUGUAUGUUCAGGGAUAAAAGUGGGUAUAUGGUUCACAUAGAAGAUCCACUCUCGGUGUGGUUGAGAGGCUAUAUUCCCACUGAGAGUCUUCCCAGAUCUCAGAGAAAAUUAGAGAAAAUAAAUAAAUCAGGAAGAAAGACAACAACACAAAAUAAAACACAAAAAACCACAGCUACCAGAUGCUGGUCCUAAACAAAAUCUCAUAGCAGGAAAGAAGGAUUCCCAAAGUGGCAACAAAUUUAUAAGGAUAAGUGUGUGAUGUUAAAAAAGUUUCCUGUUUAAAUUCUGUUUAUUCCAGUUGUGAAGGGGAAAUUCCAGCACUUUGAGAACUGUUGUCUGUUUUCAGAAUAAGCCUAAAUGCAGAGUUCAAAAGCAAUAAAAUUACCAAUAGUAACUACUUCAUGUCUGAUUCCUCCCAUGUCAAUUUUAUAUCCACUUUUUAGAAGGCUUAGCAUAUAGAAGCCCAAUAUCAUUGCAGUUAGGGCACAGAUUUUUGAUGUAGAUAAAUUUGGGUUCAAAAC